UUUUAAGUAACAAAAUGAGACAGUUUAUCCGACAAGGGUGAGAUUUUCCACUGAGCUUUCUGACAAUGAUAGAUGAUGAUAAGCAUUUGAAUAUUCCGAUUCUUUUUGUAUUCGAAGACGUAUUGACGUCCUCGUCCUCGUCUUCUAUUAAGCUACCUCGACCUCAAUGACAAUUUUAUCUUUUUCAUAUGACCUCGACCUUUUGAGGUCCGAUUGAUUUGUCAUAAUAUCGACACGUCACAACCUUCAAAAACUUUAUCUUUCACUGACCCAAGUCAAAUGCGUGAUAUGAAAUUUUUUGCCCAUACAUCUUGCAUAUUACAAAACAUAUGAUUCAUGAAUUUCAC
RNAcentral lists this long non-coding RNA (347 nucleotides) under Nicotiana benthamiana. RNAcentral's name for it is "long non-coding RNA (NBEN_LNC020567)". The record is from RNAcentral. Lineage: Eukaryota; Viridiplantae; Streptophyta; Magnoliopsida; Solanales; Solanaceae.